GGAGGAGGCAGGUAGCUGGGUCCAGGGACAGGCAGAAGGUCAUACACAGGAGGAGGCAGGUAGCUGGGUCCAGGGGCAGGCAGAAGGUCAUACACAGGAGGAGGCAGGUAGCUGGGUCCAGGGGCAGGCAGAAGGUCAUUCACAAGGGGAGGCAGUUAGCUGGGUCCAGGGGCAGGCAGAAGGUCAUACACAGGAGGAGGCAGGUAGCUGGGUCCAGGGGCAGGCAGAAGGUCAUACACAGGAGGAGGCAGGUAGCUGGGUCCAGGGGCAGGCAGAAGGUCAUACACAGGAGGAGGCAGGUAGCUGGGUCCAGGGGCAGGCAGAAGGUCAUACACAGGAGGAGGCAGGUAGCUGGGUCUAGGGGCAGGCAGAAGGUCAUACACAGGAGGAGGCAGGUAGCUGGGUCCAGGGGCAGGCAGAAGGUCAUACACAGGAGGAGGCAGGUAGCUGGGUCCAGGGGCAGGCAGAAGGUCAUACACAGGAGGAGGCAGGUAGCUGGGUCCAGGGGCAGGCAGAAGGUCAUACACAGGAGGAGGCAGGUAGCUGGGUCUAGGGGCAGGCAGAAGGUCAUACACAGGAGGAGGCAGGUAGCUGGGUCCAGGGGCAGGUAGCUGGGUCUAGGGGCAGG
This is a long non-coding RNA of Oncorhynchus tshawytscha (Chinook salmon), 628 nucleotides long. NCBI's taxonomy places the organism in Eukaryota, Metazoa, Chordata, Actinopteri, Salmoniformes, Salmonidae. The record is from Ensembl.